GCUUAACACAUGCAAGUCGAGGGGCAGCAUGGUCUUAGCUUGCUAAGGCCGAUGGCGACCGGCGCACGGGUGAGUAACACGUAUCCAACCUGCCGUCUACUCUUGGACAGCCUUCUGAAAGGAAGAUUAAUACAAGAUGGCAUCAUGAGUCCGCAUGUUCACAUGAUUAAAGGUAUUCCGGUAGACGAUGGGGAUGCGUUCCAUUAGAUAGUAGGCGGGGUAACGGCCCACCUAGUCUUCGAUGGAUAGGGGUUCUGAGAGGAAGGUCCCCCACAUUGGAACUGAGACACGGUCCAAACUCCUACGGGAGGCAGCAGUGAGGAAUAUUGGUCAAUGGGCGAGAGCCUGAACCAGCCAAGUAGCGUGAAGGAUGACUGCCCUAUGGGUUGUAAACUUCUUUUAUAAAGGAAUAAAGUCGGGUAUGGAUACCCGUUUGCAUGUACUUUAUGAAUAAGGAUCGGCUAACUCCGUGCCAGCAGCCGCGGUAAUACGGAGGAUCCGAGCGUUAUCCGGAUUUAUUGGGUUUAAAGGGAGCGUAGAUGGAUGUUUAAGUCAGUUGUGAAAGUUUGCGGCUCAACCGUAAAAUUGCAGUUGAUACUGGAUAUCUUGAGUGCAGUUGAGGCAGGCGGAAUUCGUGGUGUAGCGGUGAAAUGCUUAGAUAUCACGAAGAACUCCGAUUGCGAAGGCAGCCUGCUAAGCUGCAACUGACAUUGAGGCUCGAAAGUGUGGGUAUCAAACAGGAUUAGAUACCCUGGUAGUCCACACGGUAAACGAUGAAUACUCGCUGUUUGCGAUAUACUGCAAGCGGCCAAGCGAAAGCGUUAAGUAUUCCACCUGGGGAGUACGCCGGCAACGGUGAAACUCAAAGGAAUUGACGGGGGCCCGCACAAGCGGAGGAACAUGUGGUUUAAUUCGAUGAUACGCGAGGAACCUUACCCGGGCUUAAAUUGCAGAUGAAUUACGGUGAAAGCCGUAAGCCGCAAGGCAUCUGUGAAGGUGCUGCAUGGUUGUCGUCAGCUCGUGCCGUGAGGUGUCGGCUUAAGUGCCAUAACGAGCGCAACCCUUGUUGUCAGUUACUAACAGGUUCCGCUGAGGACUCUGACAAGACUGCCAUCGUAAGAUGUGAGGAAGGUGGGGAUGACGUCAAAUCAGCACGGCCCUUACGUCCGGGGCUACACACGUGUUACAAUGGGGGGUACAGAGGGCCGCUACCACGCGAGUGGAUGCCAAUCCCCAAAACCUCUCUCAGUUCGGACUGGAGUCUGCAACCCGACUCCACGAAGCUGGAUUCGCUAGUAAUCGCGCAUCAGCCACGGCGCGGUGAAUACGUUCCCGGGCCUUGUACACACCGCCCGUCAAGCCAUGGGAGCCGGGGGUACCUGAAGUGCGUAACCGCGAGGAGCGCCCUAGGGUAAAACUGGUGACUGGGGCUAAGUCGU
Molecule: ribosomal RNA, 1439 nt
Filed under: uncultured bacterium
Lineage: Bacteria
Description: 16S ribosomal RNA
Rfam family: Bacterial small subunit ribosomal RNA
Source: RNAcentral